This 421-nucleotide ribosomal RNA is filed under the name uncultured bacterium. Its description in RNAcentral is "bacterial SSU rRNA". It matches the Rfam family "Bacterial small subunit ribosomal RNA", at positions 43 to 466 of the family's 1533-position model. The record is from RNAcentral.
CAGGCCUAACACAUGCAAGUCGAACGGCAGCGCGGGAGCAAUUCUGGCGGCGAGUGGCGAACGGGUGAGUAAUAUAUCGGUACGUGCCCAUUAGUGGGGGAUAGCCCGGCGAAAGCCGGAUUAAUACCGCAUACGACCUGAGGGUGAAAGCGGGGGAUCGCAAGACCUCGCGCUAUUGGAGCGGCCGAUAUCAGAUUAGCUAGUUGGUGGGGUAAAGGCCUACCAAGGCAACGAUCUGUAGUUGGUCUGAGAGGACGACCAGCCACAUUGGGACUGAGACACGGCCCAGACUCUUACGGGAGGCAGCAGUGGGGAAUUUUGGACAAUGGGCGCAAGCCUGAUCCAGCAAUGCCGCGUGCAGGAAGAAGGCCUUCGGGUUGUAAACUGCUUUUGUCAGGGAAGAAAUCCUUUGGGUUAAUAC